Molecule: ribosomal RNA, 641 nt
Filed under: uncultured yard-trimming-compost bacterium
Lineage: Bacteria
Description: bacterial SSU rRNA
Rfam family: Bacterial small subunit ribosomal RNA
Source: RNAcentral
UAGCGGCAGGCCUAAUACAUGCAAGUCGAGGGGCAGCACGGUAGCAAUACUGGUGGCGACCGGCGCACGGGUGCGUAACGCGUAUGCAACUUACCCUUUACAGGGAGAUAGCCCGGAGAAAUUCGGAUUAAUAUCCCAUAGUAUAUAGAUUUGGCAUCAGAUUUAUAUUAAAGAUUUAUCGGUAAAGGAUGGGCAUGCGUGUCAUUAGCUAGUUGGUGAGGUAAUGGCUCACCAAGGCGACGAUGACUAGGGGUACUGAGAGGUUACACCCCCACACUGGUACUGAGACACGGACCAGACUCCUACGGGAGGCAGCAGUAAGGAAUAUUGGACAAUGGGCGAGAGCCUGAUCCAGCCAUGCCGCGUGCAGGAUGACGGUCCUAUGGAUUGUAAACUGCUUUUGUAUGGGAAUAAACCCAGAUACGUGUAUCUGGCUGAAUGUACCAUAAGAAUAAGGAUCGGCUAACUCCGUGCCAGCAGCCGCGGUAAUACGGAGGAUCCAAGCGUUAUCCGGAUUUAUUGGGUUUAAAGGGUGCGUAGGCGGGACAGUAAGUCAGUGGUGAAAUCCUAUUGCUUAACAAUAGAAUUGCCAUUGAUACUGCUGACCUUGAGUACAAAUGAUGUGGGCGGAAUGUGCAGUG